This is a long non-coding RNA of Cervus elaphus (red deer), 3250 nucleotides long. RefSeq lists it as uncharacterized. The record is from RefSeq and is a predicted model, not a curated record. The transcript has 2 exons. NCBI's taxonomy places the organism in Eukaryota, Metazoa, Chordata, Mammalia, Artiodactyla, Cervidae.
UAACCCUUUCCAGCCCUCUCAAUAGUUUACAUCUUGUUUUGCAUAGUUAAACCUUUUUUUUUUUUAAUGGGGUAAAGAUUUACAAAGAAAGAAAGGGAAGCGGCACAUUGGUUAAAACUCUAGAACCAGACUGGGUAAAAGGAUUCCACCUCCCCUACUAAAUAGCUAAGUGGCUUUGUUUUCCUUGGUGUCUCAGUUCCCCAUCCGUCAAAUGGGGAGAAUUGUAGUUACACCCUUAUAAGGCUCUUUUAUUGGAUGAAAUGCGUUAAUACGGAAUAAUGGGAGUUGAGAACAGUGCCUGGCACGAAGGACAUGACUUGAUGCUUCUUGAAGAGAAGAGAGGGAACAGGAGAGAAGGUGUUCUAAAUCAAAUAGAGAAGCCGCUUCAGUGUUCUAAGUGCAAACGGCCCUGUUAGUCUGUUCUUGUCCAGUCUUUUCCAUGCUCUGAAAAAUUGAUGGGUGCCAUCCGUAACCACCUUAAUUUUGUCUCAACACCCACUGGAAGUGGAGCCAGACAAUUAAACUACUCUUCCAAUUUGAUGGCCGAAGAAUGCCUCUCAUGGUUACUUGGCUGGUGAGCCGAAGAGAAACAAAAUGUGUACAGUGUUGUCCUCAAUCCCAUACUCAACUUGCUAUCUAUUUUGGAAAUGUUAUGCACACACACUUUUCUAUGCUCUUUGCUCUCUCCUGAGCUUUCUUCCAACCAGUUGAUUGUCCCUCCUCACCUUACUUACAAAACCUGGUUCUUUUACUUCUGCCCAGUCAAGCGUUUUUAAGUUCUGGGUAACCUUACAUCCAAAGCUGAGUACCCGAGAUACUUAUGUAUUUAACAUUAGGUUGAAAAAAGUAAUCUUCCUAUCAAAAUCUGAUUGUCAUUUAAUUAACAUUGUUUUUUUUUUUUCUCUGUAUCCCUGGUGACUUCACUACUUCAUGAAUCCCUGAAGAAAUAAAACAUUCAGUGCAGCUCCAUGUCCCAUUUAUACGCAAAAUCAUGGGGACCCAGCAGGAGCCAUUUCAAGAGCAUCUCUUCCUUAGUCUGGAGUGUUUCUGUCCCCUUUCACAGUAGAAAAAUGGGUGUUUCUUGCUUUUCAAAGAAGAAACAAGUCCCUGCCUCUCCUGGGUACCAUUUUCUUUCUUUUUUUCCUUUAUUAUUAUAUGUGCAAAUUAGCAGUGCUUAUUUUUGUUUGUUGUCAGCAAUGCUUUGCCCUCCUGAUGGAAGCUAUAUACCCUAAGAGGAAAUUUGAUGCCAAAAAUUGAAAAGGAGCCAAGUGGUAAUUCAGAGUGACUCUGGAAAGGCUUCUGUGUGUUUUGUCUAUCUCACUGGUGCUGUUUAAUUUUACUCAUAUCUUAUGAAUAAGUAAAUCUUAUUCUGAAGAACAGCCCACACAGAAAAUACUUAAGAAUGGGAGAAGAUGCAGGGAGAGGAAUUAAGAUGUCUCUAAGGAAAAAGUUUCAUCUUCCAUCUCACUAGAGAGAAAAGAGUUACAGUGAGUGAGGUUUGUUUCUAUUUGCUGUAGUUAUAAGAACUGAAUUGCUGAGAUUUUUUUGUUUGUUUGUUUUUUACUCACUGGCUUAAUUUUAACUAACCUCUCAAGGAACAAAUGAAUCAGCAAUCUUCAUGGAGCAGCGCUUGAGUUCCUUGUCCAUGACAAAAGAUCAGAAAUUCACUGAACACCCUCCUUUUAAGAUCUUAAAAUUGUAUGUGAGAAUCACUCUCGCCAACAGAGAACUCUGGGCAUUCAUUAUAGAGAACUCUAGGCGUUCAUUAGCACCUGAGGUAAUGUCUAUACACAGAUUUCAGUCCUGUUCACAGCCCCUUAUGUAUACGGACCUUCAGAGCCAUUUCUGCACAUUCCAAGUGCAAUACUAUCUACCUGAAGGUAAUUACAAUUACCCAUCUCAUCCCACCUCCAACUUUGUCAUCUCUCCUAAAUUGAAACUUGGCUAACAGGAUACUCAAGAAACCAUCAUGCUCACUUAGAAAAGAACUGAGAUGUAAUACAGGCUGUGGGGUACUCUCUAUUUAUUGUAACCUAUUUUUUGUUAUUUCAGGAAAUAAUUUUUGUCUGUUUUAAUAGGAUUUGUUAAAACCUUAUACAAUUACUAUCAUGGACAGCAAGGGGAUCAAACCAGUCCAUCCUAAAGGAAAUCAACCCUGAAUAUUCAUUGGAAGGACUCAUGCUGAAGCUGAAGCUCCAAUUCUUUGGCCACCUGAUGCAAAGAGCCGACUCAUUGUAAAAAAACCCUGAUGCUGGGAAAGAUGGAAGGCAGGAGAAGAAGGGAACAACAGAGGAGGAGAUGGUUGGAUGGCAUCAUCGACUCAACAGAUAUGAGUUUGAGCAGACUCUGAGAUGGUGAAGGACAGCGAAGCCUGGCAUGCUUCAGUCCAUGGGGUCAGAGAGAAUCAGACGUGACUGAGUGACUGAACAACAACAACACCAAAAGGGAAAUUACUAUCAGUGGAUUCCUUUUCUUCAGGCCUAAUCUAAUAUUACAACCUUUUCCUCCAGGCCUCAGGCAUUUCCUCUCCCUCCUCAUUUGAGAAAACUAGUCUUUUUAUCUUUAGUACACAAUUACAAGAUUCCUUUCUUCAUCUUGGCUGAUUUUUUUCCUCGAUUCAUCCCACCCUCUCCUUCCCCACCCUCUCCAUCCCCACCAUGUCCACAAGUCUUUUCUCUGUCUGCAUCUCCACUGUUGCCCUGCAAAAGGUUCUUCAGUUCCAUCUUUCCAAAUUCCAUAUAUCUAUGUUAAUAUAUGAUAUUUGUUUUUCUCUUUCUGACUGACUGACUUCAGUCUGUAUAAUAGACUCCAGGUUCCUCCACCUCACUAGAGCUGACUCAAAAGAUGUUCCUUUUUAUGGCUGAGUAAUAUUCCAUUGUAUUGCAUUGUAUAUAUGAAAUAUACAUAUAUGAAUAUUCCAUCAUACCACAAAUUUUUAAUCCAUUCAUCUGUUGAUAGACAUCUAGGUUGCUUCCAUUUCCUAGCUAUUGUAAAUAGUGCUGCAGUGAACAUUGGGGUACAUGUGCCUUUUUCAGCUUUGGUUUCCUCAGGGUAUAUGCCCUGUAGUAGGAUUGUUGGGUCAAUAGGGUAGUUCCUUGUUUUUUAUUCACCUUGUUUGACUUCUGCUCUCAGAAUCAACUGAGAAUUCAUUAUACUAUUUCUGGAUAUUUCAGCUUUUUGCUCUUUUAUAAUCUUAAGUAAAAUUUUUAUGAAUAAAGUGUUUUGAAUGAAAUAAGCAUUUAAAAAAUUA